UAUGUGGCUUGAACGCCAUUAUAUUGACCAGACAUAUUCCUCGCCCCGUCGAAUCUCUGGCCGAUCAAGAAAGUAAUAUCCAGUUCGAAAUUUUGAAGAUUUUCAACCAUUAGCUUGGCAAGGACAUUACCUCGAAAAAAAGCAAAUUUCUGGACGGAUUUAUAUUAUAAUAUGAUUUUUACCUGUAGUGGAAGCUGUUGGGAUAAACUUCACAAAAUCUUAAUGUACAAUAUGCUGGCCAUCGUCUUUCUUAAUCACGUAUCGAAUGCAGUUGCUUUGAUUGCAGCUAUCAGUUUUCGAGUCAAUAUCUCAUAACAUGCAUCGAUAAUUUCGUUUUGGACAGUAGGGCUUGUAUAUUUCCCUGGACCUUCUAAAUGACUGGGA
This is a long non-coding RNA of Drosophila gunungcola (fruit fly), 384 nucleotides long. RefSeq lists it as uncharacterized. NCBI's taxonomy places the organism in Eukaryota, Metazoa, Arthropoda, Insecta, Diptera, Drosophilidae. The record is from RefSeq and is a predicted model, not a curated record. The transcript is spliced from 3 exons.